RNAcentral lists this ribosomal RNA (2990 nucleotides) under Salmonella enterica. RNAcentral describes it as "bacterial LSU rRNA". It matches the Rfam family "Bacterial large subunit ribosomal RNA". The record is from RNAcentral. Lineage: Bacteria; Pseudomonadati; Pseudomonadota; Gammaproteobacteria; Enterobacterales; Enterobacteriaceae.
UUAAGCGACUAAGCGUACACGGUGGAUGCCCUGGCAGUCAGAGGCGAUGAAGGACGUGCUAAUCUGCGAUAAGCGCCGGUAAGGUGAUAUGAACCGUUAUAACCGGCGAUUUCCGAAUGGGGAAACCCAGUGUGACUCGUCACACUAUCAUUAACUGAAUCCAUAGGUUAAUGAGGCGAACCGGGGGAACUGAAACAUCUAAGUACCCCGAGGAAAAGAAAUCAACCGAGAUUCCCCCAGUAGCGGCGAGCGAACGGGGAGGAGCCCAGAGCCUGAAUCAGCAUGUGUGUUAGUGGAAGCGUCUGGAAAGGCGCGCGAUACAGGGUGACAGCCCCGUACACAAAAGCGCAUGUGCUGUGAGCUCGAUGAGUAGGGCGGGACACGUGGUAUCCUGUCUGAAUAUGGGGGGACCAUCCUCCAAGGCUAAAUACUCCUGACUGACCGAUAGUGAACCAGUACCGUGAGGGAAAGGCGAAAAGAACCCCGGCGAGGGGAGUGAAAAAGAACCUGAAACCGUGUACGUACAAGCAGUGGGAGCACAGGUUUACCUGUGUGACUGCGUACCUUUUGUAUAAUGGGUCAGCGACUUAUAUUCUGUAGCAAGGUUAACCGCAUAGGGGAGCCGGAGGGAAACCGAGUCUUAAUUGGGCGUUAAGUUGCAGGGUAUAGACCCGAAACCCGGUGAUCUAGCCAUGGGCAGGUUGAAGGUUGGGUAACACUAACUGGAGGACCGAACCGACUAAUGUUGAAAAAUUAGCGGAUGACCUGUGGCUGGGGGUGAAAGGCCAAUCAAACCGGGAGAUAGCUGGUUCUCCCCGAAAGCUAUUUAGGUAGCGCCUCGUGAAUUCAUCUCCGGGGGUAGAGCACUGUUUCGGCUAGGGGGCCAUCCCGGCUUACCAACCCGAUGCAAACUGCGAAUACCGGAGAAUGUUAUCACGGGAGACACACGGCGGGUGCUAACGUCCGUCGUGAAGAGGGAAACAACCCAGACCGCCAGCUAAGGUCCCAAAGUCAUGGUUAAGUGGGAAACGAUGUGGGAAGGCCCAGACAGCCAGGAUGUUGGCUUAGAAGCAGCCAUCAUUUAAAGAAAGCGUAAUAGCUCACUGGUCGAGUCGGCCUGCGCGGAAGAUGUAACGGGGCUAAACCAUGCACCGAAGCUGCGGCAGCGAACGUAUCACCCAAGACAACUUUGCGGAGUUGACGAUUGACGGAGCGAAGCGACGUCAAAGCGUUCAUUAAAGUCGAGUUGGCUUAGGGAUACGUUCGUUGGGUAGGGGAGCGUUCUGUAAGCCUGCGAAGGUGGCCUGUGAGGGUUGCUGGAGGUAUCAGAAGUGCGAAUGCUGACAUAAGUAACGAUAAAGCGGGUGAAAAGCCCGCUCGCCGGAAGACCAAGGGUUCCUGUCCAACGUUAAUCGGGGCAGGGUGAGUCGACCCCUAAGGCGAGGCCGAAAGGCGUAGUCGAUGGGAAACGGGUUAAUAUUCCCGUACUUGGUGUUACUGCGAAGGGGGGACGGAGAAGGCUAUGUUGGCCGGGCGACGGUUGUCCCGGUUUAAGCGUGUAGGUGUGUGUUCCAGGUAAAUCCGGUUCACUUUAACACUGAGGCGUGACGACGAGGCACUACGGUGCUGAAGCAACAAAUGCCCUGCUUCCAGGAAAAGCCUCUAAGCAUCAGGUAACAUCAAAUCGUACCCCAAACCGACACAGGUGGUCAGGUAGAGAAUACCAAGGCGCUUGAGAGAACUCGGGUGAAGGAACUAGGCAAAAUGGUGCCGUAACUUCGGGAGAAGGCACGCUGACACGUAGGUGAAGUGAUUUACUCAUGGAGCUGAAGUCAGUCGAAGAUACCAGCUGGCUGCAACUGUUUAUUAAAAACACAGCACUGUGCAAACACGAAAGUGGACGUAUACGGUGUGACGCCUGCCCGGUGCCGGAAGGUUAAUUGAUGGGGUCAGCGCAAGCGAAGCUCCUGAUCGAAGCCCCGGUAAACGGCGGCCGUAACUAUAACGGUCCUAAGGUAGCGAAAUUCCUUGUCGGGUAAGUUCCGACCUGCACGAAUGGCGUAAUGAUGGCCAGGCUGUCUCCACCCGAGACUCAGUGAAAUUGAACUCGCUGUGAAGAUGCAGUGUACCCGCGGCAAGACGGAAAGACCCCGUGAACCUUUACUAUAGCUUGACACUGAACAUUGAGCCUUGAUGUGUAGGAUAGGUGGGAGGCUUUGAAGUGUGGACGCCAGUCUGCAUGGAGCCGACCUUGAAAUACCACCCUUUAAUGUUUGAUGUUCUAACGUGGACCCGUAAUCCGGGUUGCGGACAGUGUCUGGUGGGUAGUUUGACUGGGGCGGUCUCCUCCUAAAGAGUAACGGAGGAGCACGAAGGUUGGCUAAUCCUGGUCGGACAUCAGGAGGUUAGUGCAAUGGCAUAAGCCAGCUUGACUGCGAGCGUGACGGCGCGAGCAGGUGCGAAAGCAGGUCAUAGUGAUCCGGUGGUUCUGAAUGGAAGGGCCAUCGCUCAACGGAUAAAAGGUACUCCGGGGAUAACAGGCUGAUACCGCCCAAGAGUUCAUAUCGACGGCGGUGUUUGGCACCUCGAUGUCGGCUCAUCACAUCCUGGGGCUGAAGUAGGUCCCAAGGGUAUGGCUGUUCGCCAUUUAAAGUGGUACGCGAGCUGGGUUUAGAACGUCGUGAGACAGUUCGGUCCCUAUCUGCCGUGGGCGCUGGAGAACUGAGGGGGGCUGCUCCUAGUACGAGAGGACCGGAGUGGACGCAUCACUGGUGUUCGGGUUGUCAUGCCAAUGGCACUGCCCGGUAGCUAAAUGCGGAAGAGAUAAGUGCUGAAAGCAUCUAAGCACGAAACUUGCCCCGAGAUGAGUUCUCCCUGAGACUUAGAGUCUCCUGAAGGAACGUUGAAGACGACGACGUUGAUAGGCCGGGUGUGUAAGCGCAGCGAUGCGUUGAGCUAACCGGUACUAAUGAACCGUGAGGCUUAACCUU